This 468-nucleotide ribosomal RNA is filed under the name uncultured bacterium. RNAcentral describes it as "partial 16S ribosomal RNA". It matches the Rfam family "Bacterial small subunit ribosomal RNA", at positions 28 to 507 of the family's 1533-position model. The record is from RNAcentral.
GACGAACGCUGGCGGCGUGCUUAACACAUGCAAGUCGAACGGAAAGGCCCUGCUUUUGUGGGGUGCUCGAGUGGCGAACGGGUGAGUAACACGUGAGUAACCUGCCCUUGACUUUGGGAUAACUUCAGGAAACUGGGGCUAAUACCGGAUAGGAGCUCCUGCUGCAUGGUGGGGUUUGGAAAGUUUCGGCGGUUGGGGAUGGACUCGCGGCUUAUCAGCUUGUUGGUGGGGUAGUGGCUUACCAAGGCUUUGACGGGUAGCCGGCCUGAGAGGGUGACCGGCCACAUUGGGACUGAGAUACGGCCCAGACUCCUACGGGAGGCAGCGGUGGGGAAUAUUGCACAAUGGGCGGAAGCCUGAUGCAGCAACGCCGCGUGCGGGAUGACGGCCUUCGGGUUGUAAACCGCUUUCGCCUGUGACGAAGCGUGAGUGACGGUAAUGGGUAAAGAAGCACCGGCUAACUACGUG